AACAGAGAGAGUAUAUAAUAUAUGCAGCGGAGCUGGAGCGCAUCUUGACUUGUGGUCUGGAGCGCAUCUUGACUUGUGGUCUGCAAUGUUAGAAUCGCAGAGCAGCUAACUCUUCUUUUCCUUGUCUCUGUUGAGAAUUAAACUCACAAAGCGUAACCAUGAAUAUUUUUGUUUUUGUUUUUUGGGUUCUCUUUUUAUUUUCUAUAGUGUGGAAAACUAUUUCAGAUAUUUCAAGUGACUACCUUUGAUGGGUUUUCUGCUUUCAAAUGACAAAAUUGCAAGUCAUAUAUAUCAUAGCUGCUGCAGCAAGUGUUGCAUCAAGUGUUGCAUCAAGCUAUUAAUUUAGAGGUUGAAGCAGUUAUAAAGUUCGACGUUGAAGCACUGAUUCUUCUGAACCCACGAGCCCAUUGCUAGAUCAGUCACUGGUGUUUGUCUGUA
Non-coding RNA from Nicotiana tabacum (common tobacco), 438 nucleotides. The record is from RefSeq and is a predicted model, not a curated record. Lineage: Eukaryota; Viridiplantae; Streptophyta; Magnoliopsida; Solanales; Solanaceae.